CCACAGAGGGUGAGAGCCCCGUCUGGUUGGAUACCAAACCUGUGUUAAACUCCUUCAACGAGUCGAGUAGUUUGGGAAUGCUGCUCUAAAUGGGAGGUAAAUCUCUUCUAAAGCUAAAUACCGGCCAGAGACCGAUAGCGCACAAGUAGAGUGAUCGAAAGAUGAAAAGCACCUUGAAAAGGGGGUUAAACAGUACGUGAAAUUGUUAAAAGGGAAGCGUUUAUGACCAGACUUGUGUCGUGUGGCUCAUCCGAGGUUCUCCCCGGUGCACUCCACACGGCUCAGGCCAACAUCGGUUCUCGUUGGGGGAUAAGAACAGCAGGAACGUGGCCCUCUUCGGAGGGUGUUAUAGCCUGCUGUACGAUACCCUGAA
RNAcentral lists this ribosomal RNA (373 nucleotides) under Sordariomycetes sp. RNAcentral's name for it is "eukaryotic LSU rRNA". It matches the Rfam family "Eukaryotic large subunit ribosomal RNA", at positions 202 to 582 of the family's 3401-position model. Lineage: Eukaryota; Fungi; Ascomycota; Sordariomycetes. The record is from RNAcentral.